Molecule: RNA transcript, 1536 nt
Organism: Sapajus apella (tufted capuchin)
Lineage: Eukaryota; Metazoa; Chordata; Mammalia; Primates; Cebidae
Gene name: serine/threonine-protein phosphatase 2A regulatory subunit B'' subunit gamma pseudogene
Exons: 1
Source: RefSeq, a predicted model, not a curated record
GGUGGAGCGGGUAGGAAACAGCAAAUACAGAAGCUACUGCGCGGGAGUCGGCCAUGGACUGGAAAGAAGUUCUUCGCCAGCGCUUAGCGACACCCAACACCCGUCCAAACAAAAAAAAAAAAAGUGAACAAGAAUUAAAAGAUGAAGAAAUGGAUUUAUUUACAAAAUAUUACUCUGAAUGGAAAGGAGGUAGAAAAAACACAAAUGAAUUCUAUAAGACCAUUCCCCGGUUUUAUUAUAGGCUGCCUGCUGAAGAUGAAGUCUUACUGCAGAAAUUAAGAGAGGAAUCAAGAGCUGUCUUUCUACAAAGAAAAAGCAGAGAACUGUUAGAUAAUGAAGAAUUACAGAACUUAUGGUUUUUGCUGGACAAACACCAGACACCACCUAUGAUUGGAGAGGAAGUGAUGAUCAAUUAUGAAAAUUUUUUGAAGGUUGAUGAAAAGUCUGGAGCAAAGUGCAACAAUUUUUCACAGCAAAAGUCUUCGCUAAACUCCUUCAUACAGAUUCAUAUGGAAGAAUUUCCAUCAUGCAGUUCUUUAAUUAUGUCAUGAGAAAAGUUUAACUUCAUCAGACAAGAAUAGGACUCAGUUUAUACGAUGUCGCUGGGCAGGGGUACCUUCGGGAAUCUGAUUUAGAAAACUACAUAUUGGAACUUAUCCCUACAUUGCCACAAUUAGAUGGUCUGGAAAAAUCUUUCUACUCCUUUUAUGUUUGUACAGCAGUUAGGAAGUUCUUCUUCUUUUUAGAUCCUCUAAGAACAGGAAAGAUAAAAAUUCAAGAUAUUUUAGCAUGCAGCUUCCUAGAUGAUUUAUUGGAGCUAAGGGAUGAGGAACUGUCCAAGGAGAGUCAAGAAACAAAUUGGUUUUCUGCUCCUUCUGCCCUAAGAGUUUAUGGCCAGUACUUGAAUCUUGAUAAAGAUCACAAUGGCAUGCUCAGUAAAGAAGAACUCUCACGCUAUGGAACAGCUACCAUGACCAAUGUCUUCUUAGACCGUGUUUUCCAGGAGUGUCUCACUUAUGAUGGAGAAAUGGACUAUAAGACCUACUUGGACUUUGUCCUUGCAUUAGAAAAUAGAAAGGAACCUGCAGCUCUACAAUAUAUUUUCAAAUUGCUUGAUAUUGAGAACAAAGGAUAUCUGAAUGUCUUUUCACUUAAUUAUUUCGUUAGGGCCAUACAGGAACUAAUGAAAAUCCAUGGACAAGAUCCUGUUUCAUUUCAAGAUGUCAAGGAUGAAAUCUUUGACAUGGUAAAACAAAAGGAUCCUUUGAAAAUCUCUCUUCAGGAUUUAAUCAACAUUAAUCAAGGAGACACAGUUACCACCAUUCUAAUUGAUUUGAAUGGCUUCUGGACUUAUGAGAACAGAGAAGCUCUUAUUGCAAAUGACAGUGAAAACUCUGCAGACCUUGAUGAUACAUGAUCUCUGAAAGACUAGAUUGUCUUCAGUAAGAGAUAUUUGAAUGCUGCAUGUAAAGCCUUUAAAGCAAAAUCCUUAGAAAUGGUCAAAAUAAAACAUAUAUGUCUAGAGAAAAAAAAAAA